GCAGUCUGGUACUGUAGCAGUCCAUCAAUGUUGCAGUCCCGAAACUUUCCUUUAAAUCCAUUUUUCUUUCCUUCUCCUUUUUUUUUCUUCAUUUCGACCGAGUGCUCAGACCCUAGAAAAAUUUUUCGGUGAACUUUUACGGCGAAUCGAAACUUCAAACUCUUCUUCUCAUCCUCUUGAGUGCGAAGUUGAGGCGUUAACUCGAGGCAAAGAGUUACCGAGGAUUAGCUUGCGAGGAAGAGAAAUCAUCAAACUUCCUUGCGGUACCCUAAGGGUUAAGUGGUAGAGUAUCUUUCCUUGGGAUUGUCACGAUGGUUAUCGCAACACGUGGGCUCACGGGUCGAGGCGUGAUAGUUGUGAUUGCUUCUCUUGACUUGAAGUACUUUUGAAUGAGAAAUUCCCAAGGCUUCACAUGACAAAACUCAAAGUUUAGUCUCCAUGAGGUUGGGAGACUUGGAAGGCGGAAAAUAUGGUACUAUAUGUACAUAUAUUGUUGGAACAAAUAAACCAUAUAUGGUCUUAGUCCAAGUAUGGUAAAAAAACACAUACAUGUAACUAUUUGGAGACCAUUGGAGUCUCU
Molecule: long non-coding RNA, 580 nt
Organism: Dioscorea cayenensis subsp. rotundata (Guinea yam)
Lineage: Eukaryota; Viridiplantae; Streptophyta; Magnoliopsida; Dioscoreales; Dioscoreaceae
Exons: 3
Source: RefSeq, a predicted model, not a curated record